This 127-nucleotide unclassified non-coding RNA is filed under the name Flavobacterium noncentrifugens. RNAcentral describes it as "Flavo-1 RNA". Lineage: Bacteria; Pseudomonadati; Bacteroidota; Flavobacteriia; Flavobacteriales; Flavobacteriaceae. The record is from RNAcentral.
UUUUAGCCCUGAUGGAAGCGGCACCCUUUUUUGAGGAACGAAAAAAAGAUUACCCCACAAAAUAAUAAUUUUGAUUUUGUGCUCGGUCAGUUCGCUUUGCUCGAGUUAGCGGACAGCAGGAAAUAGC